Molecule: ribosomal RNA, 479 nt
Filed under: uncultured soil bacterium
Lineage: Bacteria
Description: bacterial SSU rRNA
Rfam family: Bacterial small subunit ribosomal RNA
Source: RNAcentral
AGAUUGAACGCUGGCGGCAUGCCUUACACAUGCAAGUCGAACGGCAGCACGGGAGCAAUCCUGGUGGCGAGUGGCGAACGGGUGAGUAAUAUAUCGGAACGUGCCCAGUAAUGGGGGAUAGCCCGGCGAAAGCCGGAUUAAUACCGCAUACGACCUAUGGGUGAAAGCGGGGGAUCGCAAGACCUCGCGUUAUUGGAGCGGCCGAUAUCAGAUUAGCUUGUUGGCGGGUAAAAGCCCACCAAGGCAACGAUCUGUAGCUGGUCUGAGAGGACGACCAGCCACACUGGGACUGAGACACGGCCCAGACUCCUACGGGAGGCAGCAGUGGGAAUUUGGACAAUGGGCGCAAGCCUGAUCCAGCCAUGCCGCGUGUGGGAAGAAGGCCUUCGGUUGUAAACCACUUUUGUCAGGAAGAAACGCUUCUACUAAUAUUAGAGGCUAAUGACGGUACUGAAGAAUAAGACACCGGCUAACUACGU